This is a non-coding RNA of Alosa sapidissima (American shad), 450 nucleotides long. Lineage: Eukaryota; Metazoa; Chordata; Actinopteri; Clupeiformes; Clupeidae. The record is from the annotation of a RefSeq genome assembly.
UCCAAGGACACAGAAGGACUUUGCAUCGAAGAUGAAUUCCAUACACUGUGUGAUUGUAAUAGUGGCAUUUAUGACAGGUGGUGAGGCACAGACAUUAUCUGAGUCAAAAUCUGUAAUAAUUAAACCUGGAAGCUCUCAUAAACUCACCUGCACCUACUCUGGGAUAAGUGAUGAUAAUGCUGAUAUAGCGUGGGUAAGACAACCUCCAGGCAAAGGACUGGAGUGGGUGGCGUUUAUAUCAGCACCAAGUGGAGCUAGCAAGUACUACUCCAAAUCUGUAGAAGGAAGGUUUACUAUCUCCAGAGAGAACAGCAUGGAUCAGGUUUAUCUGCAGAUGAACAGCCUACAGAGUGAAGACACUGCAGUGUAUUACUGUGCCAGAAAGACACUGUGACAGAAGUGUCUGGAGAGAUGUACAAAAACACACACGGUGAAAAGAGGGGCACUGAA